UGCCAGCCGCCGCGGUAAUACGGGGGGGGCAAGCGUUGUUCGGAAUUACUGGGCGUAAAGGGCUCGUAGGUGGCCACCUAAGUCCGACGUGAAAUCCCUCGGCUCAACCGGGGAACUGCGUCGGAUACUGGGUGGCUUGAAUCCGGGAGAGGGACGUGGAAUUCAGGGUGUAGCGGUGAAAUGCUUAGAUAUCCUGAGGAACACCAGUGGCGAAAGCGACUUUCUGGCACGAAACUGACGCUGAGGCUCGAAAGCAUGGGAAGCGAACGGGAUUAGAUA
This 279-nucleotide ribosomal RNA is filed under the name uncultured bacterium. Its description in RNAcentral is "partial 16S ribosomal RNA". It matches the Rfam family "Bacterial small subunit ribosomal RNA", at positions 506 to 784 of the family's 1533-position model. The record is from RNAcentral.